Molecule: ribosomal RNA, 498 nt
Filed under: uncultured bacterium
Lineage: Bacteria
Description: partial 16S ribosomal RNA
Rfam family: Bacterial small subunit ribosomal RNA
Source: RNAcentral
AUUGAACGCUGGCGGCAUGCCUUACACAUGCAAGUCGAACGGUAACAGGUCUUCGGAUGCUGACGAGUAGCGAACGGGUGAGUAAUACAUCGGAACGUGCCUAGUAGUGGGGGAUAAUUACUCGAAAGAGUGGCUAAUACCGCAUGAGAUCUACGGAUGAAAGCAGGGGAUCGCAAGACCUUGUGCUACUAGAUCGGCCGAUGGCAGAUUAGGUAGUUGGUGGGAUAAAAGCUUACCAAGCCGACGAUCUGUAGCUGGUCUGAGAGGACGAUCAGCCACACUGGGACUGAGACACGGCCCAGACUCCUACGGGAGGCAGCAGUGGGGAAUUUUGGACAAUGGGCGAAAGCCUGAUCCAGCAAUGCCGCGUGCAGGAUGAAGGCCUUCGGGUUGUAAACUGCUUUUGUACGGAACGAAAAGCCCCGGGUUAAUACCCUGGGGUCAUGACGGUACCGUAAGAAUAAGCACCGGCUAACUACGUGCCAGCCGCCGCAGUAA